This is a long non-coding RNA of Oxyura jamaicensis (ruddy duck), 888 nucleotides long. RefSeq lists it as uncharacterized. The transcript is spliced from 2 exons. The record is from RefSeq and is a predicted model, not a curated record. NCBI's taxonomy places the organism in Eukaryota, Metazoa, Chordata, Aves, Anseriformes, Anatidae.
CUCAGUGGCACUCUUUGAUGUCUGGACUAUUAUGACUACCUAAUUAGACUGGCUGACAAAUCAAGAUGAAUGGGGUGCCAGAUGAAUAGGAAACUCCAUCAGCUGUGUGUUUCUAACACCUGGCCUGCCAGCAGAGAGCUGCCCUCCGGCCUGGGCCGGCCCCUUGCCUGCUCUGUGCCCACGUAGCCCCAACCAAAACAGCCCGCUUCGCUCCAGGGACCCCACAGCUCCAGGGACCCCACAGCUCCAGUCUCCACCCUGGCACCCCCCGUUCACACCUCAGCAAACUGUUAUGCAAGAUUACAUGACAGAUGGUCCACUUUGUGGUUUGCUUGAAAUUUGGUUAAGAAAUCCUAUCAAGAAGCCCUUGCAGAAAGAAAACCAUAUACAUGCCUUCUUAAUGAACUUCGGAAUUUGCUACAGCAAGAUCCUUUAUCUAUUGUUACAGAAAGAGGGGGAGAAUUCAUGAGCAAUUUUGGAAGUUUCACUUUAUUAGACAUUACAACAAGAAAAAGACAGCAUGCAAUGCUUUAAAGUUCAAAAAAAUCACUCAAGUCACUGAAAAUAUGUUCUUAAUAUCCAUGAGAACACCAAGAGUAAAGGAAUUAAGAUAUUACGUUAUGCUUUAAUAUUAAUAAUGCUCUGAUUUAGAAGGAAAAUAAUAAGAGACAUAUGCCAGACAACUGAAGUGUGCAUGCUGGAAUUCAAAUGCAAGAGACUGGGGCAGCUGCAGCAGGGAGGGAACAAAACAGAACCGAAAAGAAGCCUCUGAAGCAACCACACAACCAGGAACUCCAACAGACUGUGGACAAAUACACUACAGAACUGAGAGCUGGAGAAGAUGACAGAUAUUUUGACUUUCUCAAGUUAUGAGGAACUGACUCUGUU